Molecule: ribosomal RNA, 253 nt
Filed under: uncultured bacterium
Lineage: Bacteria
Description: partial 16S ribosomal RNA
Rfam family: Bacterial small subunit ribosomal RNA
Source: RNAcentral
UACGUAGGGUGCAAGCGUUACUCGGAAUUACUGGGCGUAAAGCGUGCGCAGGCGGUUUUGUAAGUCUGUCGUGAAAUCCCCGGGCUCAACCUGGGAAUUGCGAUGGAGACUGCAAGGCUGGAGUCUGGCAGAGGGGGGUAGAAUUCCACGUGUAGCAGUGAAAUGCGUAGAGAUGUGGAGGAAUACCGAUGGCGAAGGCAGCCCCCUGGGAUAACACUGACGCUCAUGCACGAAAGCGUGGGGAGCAAACAGG